CCUACGGGAGGCAGCAGUGAGGAAUAUUGGUCAAUGGGCUUACGCCUGAACCAGCCAAGUCGCGUGAGGGAAGACUGCCCUAUGGGUUGUAAACCUCUUUUGUCAGGGAGCAAUUGGCGCUACGUGUAGCGUUAUCGAGAGUACCUGAAGAAAAAGCAUCGGCUAACUCCGUGCCAGCAGCCGCGGGAAUACGGAGGAUGCGAGCGUUAUCCGGAUUGAUUGGGUUUAAAGGGUGCGUAGGCGGAAUGCCAAGUCAGCGGUAAAAUCGCGGGGCUCAACCUCGCUCCGCCGUUGAAGCUGGCGUUCUUGAGUGGGCGAGAAGUAUGCGGAAUGCGUGGUGUAGCGGUGAAAUGCAUAGAUAUCACGCAGAACUCCGAUUGCGAAGGCAGCAUACCGGCGCCCAACUGACGCUGAAGCACGAAAGCGUGGGUAUCGAACAGGAUUAGAUACCCUAGUAGUC
This 460-nucleotide ribosomal RNA is filed under the name uncultured bacterium. RNAcentral's name for it is "partial 16S ribosomal RNA". It matches the Rfam family "Bacterial small subunit ribosomal RNA", at positions 338 to 795 of the family's 1533-position model. The record is from RNAcentral.